This is a long non-coding RNA of Zea mays, 940 nucleotides long. RefSeq lists it as uncharacterized. The record is from RefSeq and is a predicted model, not a curated record. The transcript has 2 exons. Lineage: Eukaryota; Viridiplantae; Streptophyta; Magnoliopsida; Poales; Poaceae.
CAUGGCAACCAUACAACGCACCUGAGUUGGAUGGGAUGAUCUUUAGCUCAGUAUGAAACAUCGACGAGGAAAUCAAUAGGAUGCAAUGUCCUAUGAUAUGUUUCUAGUGUGUUGAGUGGCACCUACCGCACAGGGUUGAGAAGCAGUUUGGUAGGAACCAGAUAUGGCUAGUUGAAGAUAUUCCAACUUCUAGAGAGCUGCACAAGGUCUUCUAGGGGCAAAGGUGUGGGAAAUGAGAGACGAAAGGAUGGAGGGAAGUUACCUCCAAUGUGUUUCGAAGGCCCUCUUGGUCCAGAUUUUUUUUGAAGAGGCAAUUUUUUGAAGAGGUGGUUUUUAACUUUCCACUUAGGUCUUACGAUAACAGGAGAGAAGAUUGGCCGAAGUGCAUGCAUGGUGAGGAUUGCUUGGUGCAGAUGUUCGUCGAGGGGGGAUUGAUGGAGGCCGGUGGGUCUUUAGAUGUUCUUAUGCACAUGUAAAUAUUAAUUCUAAUCCUUUGUUCUAUAUGAUUUUGUUGUUGAGUGAAACUAACUAUAAGCAUUUAUACAACAUUCAUUGGUCAAGGAGAAUUAUGGGUUCACUCGUUGGGUAGAUCCUCGUCCAAUUUUUUCGCAUGCAGAAUACAUAUCCUACCUACAGAAUAGGAUAUUUGAUCUAGAGAGGGAAGUAAUCAACAUAAAUGAGGACGAAGACAUAGACAACAACAAUGGAGGUGGUUCACAGGUGCAUGUAUGCUCAGAUCCAUAUUGCUGCUGCCCUUGUCACAACAAGAAUGUUGGUCCUUCAACUUCUCUGCCGCAACCAUAGCAGGCAACAAAAUGGGAGGAUACUAUGGAGAAGGGUCAACACAAUUUGGAAUUUGGGAGCACUACUAGAAAACUCUUUUGUAUCAAUUGCUUCAAGCUUGUUGAUUUUCUUUAUUAAUUGCCUUAAGUCGUCUUCA